GGGUUUGUAGUGUAGCUUGGAUAUCACAGAGGCUUCCGGAGCCUCGAACCCGGGUUCAAAUCCCGGCAGACCCG
Non-coding RNA from Thermoplasmatales archaeon SG8-52-1, 74 nucleotides. NCBI's taxonomy places the organism in Archaea, Methanobacteriati, Thermoplasmatota, Thermoplasmata, Thermoplasmatales. The record is from Rfam.